CCUUGUUUAGGUCUCAGUGGGAACGUCUGUGUGAGUUUGGAUUAGCUUAUCAUUUCAUUGAAGAAGACCCCUGUAUAGACAUUAUCACUGAUGCACAAAAUGUAUAUUUUUGCUACAGCUGUAUAUUUUUAAUAAUGUUUAAAUGGUCAUUUUCUAUGGGUGCAUACCCUAAUAUAAUAUAUAUUUGUGAUUGGUUACAAUAGUGAUCUGUGACGGACCACCUGGCACUCCGACUGGGUGCCUCCGCCAAUCACUGCUUCCUAGUACCUCUGAGUACUUCCAAGCACCGCACCAGACACCAUCAGCACUGUAGUCCCCACUUCCAGUGUUACAGCUUGGCUGGGGUCUCGCUGUCCUCCACCCACCCUAGGCCCAAGACCAGCAUCCAGCUUCCAGUGGGUAGACCUCUCCUCCAAGAGAGUGUAGCAAUAUGCUCUUUAAAAAGCAAGUGAUUAUAAUCCCAGGGGAGUAUAGUGAUAUAGCAAUCCCCAGGGUAGAUACAGCCGUUUCCC
Pelobates cultripes (western spadefoot toad) is the source of this 512-nucleotide non-coding RNA. Lineage: Eukaryota; Metazoa; Chordata; Amphibia; Anura; Pelobatidae. The record is from the annotation of a GenBank genome assembly.